GACGAACGCUGGCGGUGUGCUUAACGCAUGCAAGUCGAACGGUAAGGCCCUUUCGGGGGUACACGAGUGGCGAACGGGUGAGUAACACGUGAGUAACCUGCCCUCAUCUCUGGGAUAACAGUCGGAAACGGUUGCUAAUACUGGAUAUGAGCUUGCAAGGCAUCUUGUGGGUUGGAAAGAUUUUUUUGGUUGGGGAUGGACUCGCGGCCUAUCAGCUUGUUGGUGAGGUAGUGGCUCACCAAGGCUUCGACGGGUAGCCGGCCUGAGAGGGCGACCGGCCACAUUGGGACUGAGAUACGGCCCAAACUCCUACGGGAGGCAGCAGUGGGGAAUAUUGCACAAUGGACGGAAGUCUGAUGCAGCAACGCCGCGUGCGGGAUGACGGCCUUCGGGUUGUAAACCGCUUUCAAUUGUGACGAAGCUUUUUGUGACGGUAGCAGUAGAAGAAGCACCGGCUAACUACGUG
This 466-nucleotide ribosomal RNA is filed under the name uncultured bacterium. RNAcentral's name for it is "partial 16S ribosomal RNA". It matches the Rfam family "Bacterial small subunit ribosomal RNA", at positions 28 to 507 of the family's 1533-position model. The record is from RNAcentral.